Molecule: ribosomal RNA, 476 nt
Filed under: uncultured bacterium
Lineage: Bacteria
Description: partial 16S ribosomal RNA
Rfam family: Bacterial small subunit ribosomal RNA
Source: RNAcentral
AUUGAACGCUGGCGGCAUGCCUUACACAUGCAAGUCGAACGGUAACAGGUCUUCGGAUGCUGACGAGUGGCGAACGGGUGAGUAAUACAUCGGAACGUGCCCGAUCGUGGGGGAUAACGAGGCGAAAGCUUUGCUAAUACCGCAUACGAUCUACGGAUGAAAGCGGGGGAUCUUCGGACCUCGCGCGGACGGAGCGGCCGAUGGCAGAUUAGGUAGUUGGUGGGAUAAAAGCUUACCAAGCCGACGAUCUGUAGCUGGUCUGAGAGGAUGAUCAGCCACACUGGGACUGAGACACGGCCCAGACUCCUACGGGAGGCAGCAGUGGGGAAUUUUGGACAAUGGGCGAAAGCCUGAUCCAGCCAUGCCGCGUGCAGGAUGAAGGCCUUUGGGUUGUAAACUGCUUUUGUACGGAACGAAAAGCCUCUUUCUAAUAAAGAGGGGUCAUGACGGUACCGUAAGAAUAAGCACCGGCUAAC